GUUAGCCAGUGAUGAUGUUAAUACUUACAUCCAUUGCCUACAUCGUUUGAUUUUCAAGAUGAUAACACAUGCAUAACAUCUGAGGCUGCC
This 90-nucleotide small nucleolar RNA is filed under the name Amborella trichopoda. RNAcentral describes it as "Small nucleolar RNA SNORD34". It matches the Rfam family "Small nucleolar RNA SNORD34". Rfam says of the family: snoRNA U34 is found in intron 5 of the ribosomal protein L13a gene in humans. U34 is a member of the C/D class of snoRNA which contain C (UGAUGA) and D (CUGA) box motifs, and functions in directing site-specific 2'-O-methylation of 25S rRNAs. The record is from Rfam by way of RNAcentral. Lineage: Eukaryota; Viridiplantae; Streptophyta; Magnoliopsida; Amborellales; Amborellaceae.